RNAcentral lists this ribosomal RNA (83 nucleotides) under Phascolarctos cinereus (koala). The record is from RNAcentral. Lineage: Eukaryota; Metazoa; Chordata; Mammalia; Diprotodontia; Phascolarctidae.
UUACAAGAAUAAGCUAGCCGCAGUUAGCCUUGGUUAGUACUUAAAUAGGAAACUUCCUGGGAACACUGGGUGCUUUCUGUAGA